UGAGGUGUCCACUAAUAUUAAAGUGAACUAGUUCUAAAGUACUCCUUGCUCUCCAUCACUUUCUUUAUGGAAAUAGAUUACUGUGUUUUUUUCAAACAACACAUUCUUCAAAAACUUGAGAAGGAAUGACAAGUAGAGGAAGACAUGUUACCAUAUUUUUUUUUUGGAGAGUUUCUAAUCAACCAAAAAUUCAAGUGGCUAUAUUGAAAAUGCCAAAGCCAUGAAGAAUUC
Molecule: long non-coding RNA, 231 nt
Filed under: Carica papaya (papaya)
Lineage: Eukaryota; Viridiplantae; Streptophyta; Magnoliopsida; Brassicales; Caricaceae
Description: long non-coding RNA (CPAP_LNC010021)
Source: RNAcentral